This is a long non-coding RNA of Rana temporaria (common frog), 804 nucleotides long. RefSeq lists it as uncharacterized. The record is from RefSeq and is a predicted model, not a curated record. The transcript has 5 exons. NCBI's taxonomy places the organism in Eukaryota, Metazoa, Chordata, Amphibia, Anura, Ranidae.
CAAUUCACAAAGAUAAACGUUAUCGCUUUCACCUAGUAGAUAAAUUACCGCCCCUUAUCUAACGCUAGUAACCAUGGUAUUCACGAAAGCUUCAAUCGUUAUUUAAUGUAGUCGUUAUGGUUGUCAACUGACUCGUUAUCCAAUCGUUAUGGUUACGUUUCUAACGUAAAUCUCAUUUAGAAGAACGGUAUUCUAACGAAUCAAUCGUUAAUUUAAUGUCCCAAAGCGUAAUAAUAACGUCUACGUUCGUUAAUUAACGCCGGAGAGAUGCAUUCUGGGAGCAGAAGAGGAGGAGAAUAGUUCAUCCUAACCACGUGUUUCCUCUGCAAUUGCGUCCUUUGACCCGGAUGCGGAAAAGUAAAUAAAAGAAAACACACCUGGAGCUCGAGCGCGUGGUGUGGAAAAAACAGCAGCAGCAGCAGAAAACAUGAGGCCGAGUCUAAGAUCGCUGUUUGAGCAAAUUGUGAAUUCGCCCAUCCAACAGUCAGAAGAACAUUCAAGCUCCAAUGAGGAAAAUGACAAUAAUGGAUCUGUCAAGUCAGUGGGUCAUGUACCCGGAAAUCUAGCUGCUAUGGUGCGCACCCAAAAAAAAAUAUGACGGUAGAUACUAAAGAUAAAUCACAGACAUCAUCGAAGCCUAAGAAACCUGAUUCCAAGGCACAGACCACUCCUCCUGGGAAUAUUAACUCACUUAAAAAACGAAAUAAAAGAAAAAAUUCAGAAAAGGAACGCAAAAAGGAGACACCAUCACCCAAGGAUGUGGGUCCAUCCAAAUUUACGGAAACAUUUGGGGAAUGUAUAAAG